GCUGUGUGUCUCACCUCUUCAUUGGAGCAACCUGGCUUUGGACCCACAGUGCCUAAGGGCUCACAAGACGCCACACAACUCCUCUGUGUCAGUGGGAAAUGAGACUGAGGCUCUGAGCUCUCAAAAGGCUGCAGGGAGCCAGACGGAGAGCCAGAAGGCCAGUUACAACCUGCUUUGGGCACCAGCUCACCCUUUGCUCCCCAGGGCCCUGCGUCAAAGUACUUGUAAUGUGAGUAACUCCCGAGAGAAUAGAGCACUGUUACCUGCGCCACCAGAGGCAUGGAGCAUCUUCAAGUGAUCCACGGUCAUCUGCAAAACCUCAGCUUUCUCCAGCUUAGAGGAGCCCUGCGGGGAGAGAAGGCAGAGGGUGCAGCCCGAAGUUGAUAGCUGUUUCUCACUGCCCUCCUGUUCCAACCAGCAUUCACCACCUCCCAUUUCCUCCCAUUCCCUGGUUACCAGAGCUACUAUUUGGUCCAAGCUCUUCAGAUCUGAAAGAUGGCCGCCAGUUCACGCCACAGUCCACCUGUCUGCAGCACUGCUGAGCUGCAUAGUAAACUGCCCCCACCCCCAGCCACCAUUUGAUGGCCUCGAUGGAGACCUCUUCUUCUGUAGCCUCCUUUUGUCUUGCCUCUUGGGGGUCUCUGUCUCUUAAAAAAAUGCCCCCAGUGAUUGUCAGCCCCAUACACUGUCUGCUCUUCCCACAGACACUCGUCUACCUCCGUGGCUUCGUCUACCAUCACCAGACUCCACUUGCCCUGUAGACCUGCUAUCCUGGGAACCCAGGAAUCUCCAAGUCCUAGCACAAAUCGCUGAGCCAGAGUCCUUGCCCUUCCUCUGUUCUCUCUCGGGAAAUGCUUUGUAAACCUCCAGGGAACCUUGGUUCCCGUAGGAAGGGUUCGAAUCUCCAUACCAGUCCUUUAAAUAUAGACACCAAGUCUAAUCCAUGGCUGGCUCUGAGGAGGUUUUAAUGAGCAGCUGUUAACUUGCAUUUACUGGCCUAAGGGAAGACAGAUGAUGUGUGACCUGGGCCUUGAGCACAUCGAAGGAAUCUUUGAAGCAGUCCACUUCCAAUUCAACCGUUUGUCUCUCCUCUGUAGUCCCUGUCCCCUACCAUGCUCGAUGACAGGUGCUCAGUUUCUGGGUGGCCUGUUUCACUUUCAGAGAGUUCUGGAAACAUCAGAGCCACAUGCUCUGUUUCUGCUCAGACAUUUAUGUAAUCUGGGUAACAGAGUAGCUAGAAUCACGUGACACCUCCGUCCUUUGCUUUUCUCACCUGUGCAAUGGGCAGAAUAAUCUCUACUUCUCAGGAUCACUUUUAGGAUUUAAUCCAAAGGAAUACAAGUCAGGUAUAAAGCCUGAGACACCUUGCUAAACACAAUUGUCCAUUCCCCUUGUCCCCUGGCCAGUGAUAAUGAGACAUACUUGUGUAUGUGUGUGUAUGUGUGUGACAUACACACACCUUGUAUAUAUGCAUGGGGGGGUGCAUAUGUGUAUACAUGUGGAGGUCAGGAGAUACAUAGAGUAUCAGUCUCUAUUGCUUCCGACCUUAUUUUUCAUUACAUUUUUAUUGUUUCUAUGUAGUCUUUGUAUCUGAGUGAAUGUACAUCCACGUGUGUUCAGGUACCUGCAAAGGCUAGAAGAUCUCCUGGAGUUGGGGUCAGGGGUCAUAUGGAGUAAUGGAUGGCAAUUUAGUCCUCUGGAGAGCAUCGUGUGCUUUUGACUGCUUGAUCAUCUCUCCAGCCCUACAUCUAAAAAACUGUGCGUGUACGUGUGCGUGUACAUGCCCGUGCACAUGCACACUCCUGUAUGUCAGACGACAGCUUACUGGCGUCACUUCUCUCCUUCCGGAUUGUGAGACCCAGACUGGACUCAAGCCAUCACUGUUCCGGCUCCUGGCACCUGCCUGUCUCUCCUCCCAGUGCUGGUGCUCCAGCUGCACACAGCCAUGUGGCUGCCGUGGAUUUGAACUCAGACCAUACGUACCCUCUGUGCCGUCUUCCUACAGGCAGUAGGAGACGCCGUGAGAACCAGACACUGCCUUCUACACACUUGGUAGUGCCUCAUACCUGUUUCUCAAAGGCAGUGGGGACCAAUCGUCGCAGUUCAGACAGGCUGCUGUUGAUGCGGUCUCGGCGCCGUUUCUCUAUGAUCUGAAAAGUAGUGUGGAGAUGUUCCCUGUAGGCAUUUCCUCCCACUUCCCAGUGUGCCCUGGCAGACACUGAGUCCUAUUUCCCCUAGGAUAUUUUUUCCUAGGGAGUAAAUCUAUUCUUUAUUUAUGGAGGACAAGAACGAGACAAUAAUUUGCUUAGCGUCACACAGUAUAAAGUUAGAGUUGGGAUUGGCA
Long non-coding RNA from Rattus norvegicus (Norway rat), 2344 nucleotides. RefSeq lists it as uncharacterized. NCBI's taxonomy places the organism in Eukaryota, Metazoa, Chordata, Mammalia, Rodentia, Muridae. The record is from RefSeq and is a predicted model, not a curated record.